This 341-nucleotide long non-coding RNA is filed under the name Elaeis guineensis (African oil palm). RNAcentral describes it as "long non-coding RNA (EGUI_LNC050786)". The record is from RNAcentral. Lineage: Eukaryota; Viridiplantae; Streptophyta; Magnoliopsida; Arecales; Arecaceae.
GCUGUUCUUCUCUCCUUGGUGGCUCUGGCUAUGGUAGGGCCCUCGGUCAAUCCUCCCUACCUUCAGGCCGACGUCGGAUGAAUCUGUCGAGCCGACCUCAUCUGAUGAGCUCCUCGAUCUCGUCUUGGAGCUAAAUACACUCCUCCAUGUUAUGGCCGUGGUCAUGAUGAUAGAGGUAGAACUUGUUAGGGUUAUGCUUCCCUGGGUGUGUGUGCAUCCUUUCCGGCCUUGGCAGCUACUCCCUGACCUCCAUCAACACUUGGGCUUUUGGAGCAUUGAGAGGGGCGUAGCUGUGGAAUCUUCCUGGGGGAGAGCUCUGCUGAACUCUACGGUCCGGGCUC